Molecule: ribosomal RNA, 253 nt
Filed under: uncultured bacterium
Lineage: Bacteria
Description: partial 16S ribosomal RNA
Rfam family: Bacterial small subunit ribosomal RNA
Source: RNAcentral
UACAGAGGUGGCAAGCGUUGUUCGGAAUUACUGGGCGUAAAGGGCGCGUAGGCGGCCUUCUAAGUCAGACGUGAAAUCCCCCGGCUUAACCUGGGAACUGCGUCUGAUACUGGGAGGCUUGAGUAUGGGAGAGGGAUGUAGAAUUCCAGGUGUAGCGGUGAAAUGCGUAGAUAUCUGGAGGAAUACCGGUGGCGAAGGCGGCAUCCUGGACCAUAACUGACGCUGGGGCGCGAAAGCUAGGGGAGCAAACGGG